AGUAGCACAGAGGAGACUAGAAGCUCCACCAACUCCUGGUAGGCCUGUUUUUAGCUUCAGUGCUGGAAAUCUCCCCAGAAUGAGCUUCCCUUCCAAGUGGGAUGACGCAGAGAAAUGGGUCAUCAACAGCUCUUGCCAUGAUUCACCUUCCCCUGCUUUAAAACCUCCUGAAGCCCCAAGCCUUUCCAAACAAAAUUUGGUCUUCCAGCCAAAGAUACAUGUUUUCUCAGAGAAGUCCAGGGUCACAGAGGAGGUGGUCUCUAGUUCAGCUUCGAACUUUCAUGAUUCCUUGUCUGUGGACCAUCUAGAAUCUGCUUUCAAUAGGGUCAAUACAAGUUUACUUUUUAAAAGAUAAGUUCACAGACGAUGUAAAGCAAAUCUUCCCCAAUUUCAGAUGCUAUGAAGCAAUGAAAGAAGGGUUUCUACUAAACAAUUCACGGUCAGUAAGACCGUGAAAGAUGCUGCCUCAGAACCUGAUCGGGUUCAACACAGAGACACUGGGACAGAGAUGACAGCUCUUGGUAGCUCAACCGUUUCACGAUGCCACACCCCCAUCAAGGCUCCUCCCCUGUUAGGCACAACACUCCGGCUAACAGGUCAGGACCCAUGGGCAUGGGGUGUUCAAAUUCCAGCACCAUUGAUGUAACUGAGCUCCAGGAGUCCCAUUUCGCGAUGUUUGAGCUUGGGACACAGUUUGAUUCAGUUGCGACAAAUUGGAGCUCUAGGGAGGAGGAGGAAGAGGAAGUACCAAAAAGCUUGAGAUAUUUUGAGACACAAUGAUUUUCCAAAGAGUAUUGCCGAGUCCAGAGAUUUUCCAUGGGAAGAAGAAGAGAAAACCAAGAACAGUCUCAGGUUUUAGCGAGAAGAAGCAAAAAUACAAGCCUAGGUGAACCUUCAAAUAAUGUGCAAAAGCAGAAGCUCAAUCGAAAAAGCUUGAGCUGUGUCAAUUGUCAAGUAGGUCAAUCUUUUCCAUCCAAUCCUCUCACAUUUUUUGUUUCAUAAACUCUUAGCCCCCUCAUUACCCAAAAAAAAAAAAAAAACUCUUACUCCCCUUCUUUACAACUUUGUUCCCUUUAACAUAGACAGGACGA
Macadamia integrifolia is the source of this 1091-nucleotide long non-coding RNA. RefSeq lists it as uncharacterized. NCBI's taxonomy places the organism in Eukaryota, Viridiplantae, Streptophyta, Magnoliopsida, Proteales, Proteaceae. The record is from RefSeq and is a predicted model, not a curated record. The transcript is spliced from 3 exons.